UUUAAGUGUAUUUUUUGGGUUUCUGUGCCCAACAUUUGGCUGUCCGUCUUAUUUGAAUUUUUUUUAUGAUUAGCAAUCUUAUUGUUAUUAGAUGAUAAAACAUGAAUAAUACUUUAUCUGUGACUUUUUUUUAACUUUCUCAUAAAAUUUUCAAAUAAGACGAACAAUCAAACGUUGAAAACAGAAACCCAUAACUGCACUUAAA
Molecule: non-coding RNA, 205 nt
Organism: Oryza glumipatula
Lineage: Eukaryota; Viridiplantae; Streptophyta; Magnoliopsida; Poales; Poaceae
Source: Rfam